RNAcentral lists this ribosomal RNA (489 nucleotides) under uncultured bacterium. RNAcentral describes it as "bacterial SSU rRNA". It matches the Rfam family "Bacterial small subunit ribosomal RNA", at positions 30 to 508 of the family's 1533-position model. The record is from RNAcentral.
AUUGAACGCUGGCGGCAGGCUUAACACAUGCAAGUCGAGCGGAGUGAUGGUGCUUGCACCAUCACUUAGCGGCGAACGGGUGAGUAAUGCCUAGGAAUCUGCCCAUUAGCGGGGGACAACGUGUGGAAACGCACGCUAAUACCGCAUACGCCCUACGGGGGAAAGCAGGGGACUCUUUUAGAGCCUUGCACUAAUGGAUGAGCCUAGGUCGGAUUAGCUAGUUGGUGGGGUAAAGGCCUACCAAGGCGACGAUCUGUAGCGGGUCUGAGAGGAUGAUCCGCCACACUGGAACUGAGACACGGUCCAGACUCCUACGGGAGGCAGCAGUGGGGAAUAUUGGACAAUGGGCGCAAGCCUGAUCCAGCCAUGCCGCGUGUGUGAAGAAGGCCUUUUGGUUGUAAAGCACUUUAAGCGAGGAGGAGGCUACCUGUAUUAAUACUAUAGGAUAGUGGACGUUACUCGCAGAAUAAGCACCGGCUAACUCUGUGC